Molecule: non-coding RNA, 21 nt
Filed under: Caenorhabditis elegans
Lineage: Eukaryota; Metazoa; Nematoda; Chromadorea; Rhabditida; Rhabditidae
Source: RNAcentral
UGGGAAAUCCCAAGUUGAUGG